CCUACGGGGGGCAGCAGUGGGGAAUAUUGGGCAAUGGGCGCAAGCCUGACCCAGCAACGCCGCGUGAAGGAAGAAGGCUUUCGGGUUGUAAACUUCUUUUCUCAGGGACGAAGAAAGUGACGGUACCUGAGGAAUAAGCCACGGCUAACUACGUGCCAGCAGCCGCGGUAAUACGUAGGUGGCAAGCGUUAUCCGGAUUUAUUGGGUGUAAAGGGCGUGUAGGCGGGAGCGCAAGUCAGAUGUGAAAACUCAGGGCUCAACCCUGAGCCUGCAUUUGAAACUGUGUUUCUUGAGUGCUGGAGAGGCAAUCGGAAUUCCGUGUGUAGCGGUGAAAUGCGUAGAUAUACGGAGGAACACCAGUGGCGAAGGCGGAUUGCUGGACAGUAACUGACGCUGAGGCGCGAAAGCGUGGGGAGCAAACAGGAUUAGAUACCCGAG
RNAcentral lists this ribosomal RNA (438 nucleotides) under uncultured bacterium. Its description in RNAcentral is "bacterial SSU rRNA". It matches the Rfam family "Bacterial small subunit ribosomal RNA", at positions 338 to 790 of the family's 1533-position model. The record is from RNAcentral.